This 75-nucleotide non-coding RNA is filed under the name Pelobacter sp. Its description in RNAcentral is "c-di-GMP sequence". It matches the Rfam family "c-di-GMP-I riboswitch aptamer". Rfam says of the family: GEMM was predicted in a large-scale screen for bacterial structured RNA regulatory elements. Genes associated with GEMM are involved in a diverse array of functions, including chemotaxis regulation, signal transduction, secretion and chitin. RNAcentral also lists the same sequence under 1 other name. Lineage: Bacteria; Pseudomonadati; Thermodesulfobacteriota; Desulfuromonadia; Desulfuromonadales; Desulfuromonadaceae. The record is from RNAcentral.
AUGUUAACUGGGCAAAACCGGGGAGAUCCGGUGACGCAAAGCCACGGGUCCUUCGAGGAUCGCCGGGUUGUUAAA